AACGGCCGCGGUAUCCUGACCGUGCGAAGGUAGCGUAAUCAUUUGUCUUUUAAAUAGAGACCUGUAUGAAUGGCAUAACGAGGGUUUAACUGUCUCCUUCCCCUAGUCAAUGAAAUUGAUCUGCCCGUGCAGAAGCGGACAUAAAUACAUAAGACGAGAAGACCCUAUGGAGCUUUAGACAAAAGAUCAAACAUGUAAAGAAACCAAGUUAACCAAAAGGAACACAAAGGCCACGAAACCCGACGUAAACUGAUCCAAAUGUCUUCGGUUGGGGCGACCAUGGGGGAGAAAAAAGCCCCCACGAGGAACAGGGACUAAUCCCUAAGCCAAGAGAGACAUCUCUAAGCAACAGAAAAUCUGACCAAAAGUGACCCAGAAUACUAAUUCUGAUCAACGAACCAAGUUACCCUAGGGAUAACAGCGCAAUCCUUUCCCAGAGUCCAUAUCGACGAAAGGGUUUACGACCUCGAUGUUGGAUCAGGACAUCCUAAUGGUGCAGCCGCUAUUAAGGGUUCGUUU
This 519-nucleotide ribosomal RNA is filed under the name Anguilla japonica (Japanese eel). Its description in RNAcentral is "partial 16S rRNA". It matches the Rfam family "Bacterial large subunit ribosomal RNA", at positions 1926 to 2578 of the family's 2925-position model. Lineage: Eukaryota; Metazoa; Chordata; Actinopteri; Anguilliformes; Anguillidae. The record is from RNAcentral.